This 592-nucleotide ribosomal RNA is filed under the name Streptococcus mutans. RNAcentral describes it as "bacterial SSU rRNA". It matches the Rfam family "Bacterial small subunit ribosomal RNA", at positions 375 to 958 of the family's 1533-position model. The record is from RNAcentral. Lineage: Bacteria; Bacillati; Bacillota; Bacilli; Lactobacillales; Streptococcaceae.
ACGAAAGUCUGACCGAGCAACGCCGCGUGAGUGAAGAAGGUUUUCGGAUCGUAAAGCUCUGUUGUAAGUCAAGAACGUGUGUGAGAGUGGAAAGUUCACACAGUGACGGUAGCUUACCAGAAAGGGACGGCUAACUACGUGCCAGCAGCCGCGGUAAUACGUAGGUCCCGAGCGUUGUCCGGAUUUAUUGGGCGUAAAGGGAGCGCAGGCGGUCAGGAAAGUCUGGAGUAAAAGGCUAUGGCUCAACCAUAGUGUGCUCUGGAAACUGUCUGACUUGAGUGCAGAAGGGGAGAGUGGAAUUCCAUGUGUAGCGGUGAAAUGCGUAGAUGUAUGGAGGAACACCAGUGGCGAAAGCGGCUCUCUGGUCUGUCACUGACGCUGAGGCUCGAAAGCGUGGGUAGCGAACAGGAUUAGAUACCCUGGUAGUCCACGCCGUAAACGAUGAGUGCUAGGUGUGAGGCCCUUUCCGGGGCUUAGUGCCGGAGCUAACGCAAUAAGCACUCCGCCUGGGGAGUACGACCGCAUGGUUGAAACUCAAAGGAAUUGACGGGGGCCCGCACAAGCGGUGGAGCAUGUGGUUUAAUUCGAAGCA